Molecule: long non-coding RNA, 309 nt
Organism: Oncorhynchus tshawytscha (Chinook salmon)
Lineage: Eukaryota; Metazoa; Chordata; Actinopteri; Salmoniformes; Salmonidae
Source: Ensembl
UGGAGGAAGUGGUACUGAAGGUAAGGUAUGGAAGGAGGAUGGAGGAAGUGGUACUGAAGGUAAUGUAUGGAAGGAGGAUGGAGGAAGUGGUACUGAAGGUAAUGUAUGGAAGGAGGAGGGAGGAGGAUGGAGGAAGUGGUACUGAAGGUAAUGUAUGGAAGGAGGAGGAUGGAGGAAGUGGUACUGAAGGUAAUGUAUGGAAGGAUGAGGGGAGAGGAUGGAGGAAGUGGUACUGAAGGUAAUGUAUGGAAGGAGGAGGGGGGAGGAUGGAGGAAGUGGUACUGAAGGUAAUGUAUGGAAGGAGGAGGG